Molecule: ribosomal RNA, 468 nt
Filed under: uncultured bacterium
Lineage: Bacteria
Description: partial 16S ribosomal RNA
Rfam family: Bacterial small subunit ribosomal RNA
Source: RNAcentral
GACGAACGCUGGCGGCGUGCUUAACACAUGCAAGUCGAACGGAAAGGCCCUGCUUUUGUGGGGUGCUCGAGUGGCGAACGGGUGAGUAACACGUGAGUAACCUGCCCUUGACUUUGGGAUAACUUCAGGAAACUGGGGCUAAUACCGGAUAGGAGCUCCUGCUGCAUGGUGGGGGUUGGAAAGUUUCGGUGGUUGGGGAUGGACUCGCGGCUUAUCCGCUUGUUGGUGGGGUAGUGGCUUACCAAGGCUUUGACGGGUAGCCGGCCUGAGAGGGUGACCGGCCACAUUGGGACUGAGAUACGGCCCAGACUCCUACGGGAGGCAGCAGUGGGGAAUAUUGCACAAUGGGCGGAAGCCUGAUGCAGCAACGCCGCGUGCGGGAUGACGGCCUUCGGGUUGUAAACCGCUUUCGCCUGUGACGAAGCGUGAGUGACGGUAAUGGGUAAAGAAGCACCGGCUAACUACGUG